ACCUGGGUGGCUCAGUGGUUGAGCAUCUGCCUUUAGCUCAGGGUGUGAUCCUGGAGUCCUGGGAUCGAGUCCCACAUCAGGUU
Canis lupus familiaris (dog) is the source of this 83-nucleotide non-coding RNA. The record is from Rfam. Lineage: Eukaryota; Metazoa; Chordata; Mammalia; Carnivora; Canidae.